AUCGCUUCUUGCCCUUCUGGCUAAAAUCAAGUGUAGUAUCUGUUCUCAUCAGUUUAAUAUCUGAUACAUUCUCUAUCCAAAGAGAAUAUAUUUAAUGGAUUUUGGAGCAAGAAGGUGGAAUAAAAGCUUGCUCUGUCCACUCCAUGCACCGACCUGUCAUUGAAGUGCCUCUGGGAAUGGUGCACACACA
Small nuclear RNA from Manis pentadactyla (Chinese pangolin), 190 nucleotides. RefSeq annotates it as U2 spliceosomal RNA. The transcript has a single exon. Lineage: Eukaryota; Metazoa; Chordata; Mammalia; Pholidota; Manidae. The record is from RefSeq and is a predicted model, not a curated record.